GUAAGGCAAAAAGCUAUGGGCAAAGAAACCUGAACUGCUGCUCUGGGAGAUAAAACUGUGCCGCGUUGUCAAAAAUGUUCUGCCCUUUUUCCUGAAAUUACGCUGUAUAAAGUUACUGGAUUUCCAGCUCUGGGAACUGAACUUUUCCUUCAGGAGUAUUACUACUAGCUCUUAUAGACAUAAUCAACAGAAGCCUUCAGCCCAGCAGGCAGGUGUCACAGUAGCAGUUCGUUUACAAGGCUUUGGCUAUAGGAUGUGUGCAAACCUUUGGAUGUAUAUACACACAAAAUGCAGAGACCUAACACUGAAAGCUUAUUUACAAAAAAAGGAUGCUGAAAUGGAUCCAGAAAACCAAGACUGGAAUAGGUCAGCCUUACCUCGUGUCAAUGUGAGUGGCUGAGGCCAAGAGUAGGACAAUGCAUUUCUACAGAAAGUGUGCUUUGGGACAGCUGAAGAUCUAAUUCCAUGAAGAUAUUUCUGAGAAACUGUGUGAAAAUAUUAAGCAAAUGAAAAAUAAGCCAUGCAAAUUUAGUAGAUCAGGAAAUCUGAGAAGCAGAAUAGUUAAUUCUCAUUUCAUUGGAUUCUUUUUGAACUUCUUCCUUAAAAACUGACUUAGAUAAGAAGAAAGGGUUAAAUGAGAGGAUGGGACCAUAGGUAGAAAAGAACGCCUACUUGUGAAUAAAAUAGUUCUGACCAUUCCA
This 701-nucleotide long non-coding RNA is filed under the name Coturnix japonica (Japanese quail). RNAcentral describes it as "lncRNA (ENSCJPG00005010882.1)". Lineage: Eukaryota; Metazoa; Chordata; Aves; Galliformes; Phasianidae. The record is from RNAcentral.